Molecule: ribosomal RNA, 1008 nt
Filed under: Aspergillus tamarii
Lineage: Eukaryota; Fungi; Ascomycota; Eurotiomycetes; Eurotiales; Aspergillaceae
Description: SSU rRNA
Rfam family: Eukaryotic small subunit ribosomal RNA
Source: RNAcentral
CUGCGAAUGGCUCAUUAAAUCAGUUAUCGUUUAUUUGAUAGUACCUUACUACAUGGAUACCUGUGGUAAUUCUAGAGCUAAUACAUGCUAAAAACCUCGACUUCGGAAGGGGUGUAUUUAUUAGAUAAAAAACCAAUGCCCUUCGGGGCUCCUUGGUGAUUCAUAAUAACUUAACGAAUCGCAUGGCCUUGCGCCGGCGAUGGUUCAUUCAAAUUUCUGCCCUAUCAACUUUCGAUGGUAGGAUAGUGGCCUACCAUGGUGGCAACGGGUAACGGGGAAUUAGGGUUCGAUUCCGGAGAGGGAGCCUGAGAAACGGCUACCACAUCCAAGGAAGGCAGCAGGCGCGCAAAUUACCCAAUCCCGACACGGGGAGGUAGUGACAAUAAAUACUGAUACGGGGCUCUUUUGGGUCUCGUAAUUGGAAUGAGUACAAUCUAAAUCCCUUAACGAGGAACAAUUGGAGGGCAAGUCUGGUGCCAGCAGCCGCGGUAAUUCCAGCUCCAAUAGCGUAUAUUAAAGUUGUUGCAGUUAAAAAGCUCGUAGUUGAACCUUGGGUCUGGCUGGCCGGUCCGCCUCACCGCGAGUACUGGUCCGGCUGGACCUUUCCUUCUGGGGAACCUCAUGGCCUUCACUGGCUGUGGGGGGAACCAGGACUUUUACUGUGAAAAAAUUAGAGUGUUCAAAGCAGGCCUUUGCUCGAAUACAUUAGCAUGGAAUAAUAGAAUAGGACGUGCGGUUCUAUUUUGUUGGUUUCUAGGACCGCCGUAAUGAUUAAUAGGGAUAGUCGGGGGCGUCAGUAUUCAGCUGUCAGAGGUGAAAUUCUUGGAUUUGCUGAAGACUAACUACUGCGAAAGCAUUCGCCAAGGAUGUUUUCAUUAAUCAGGGAACGAAAGUUAGGGGAUCGAAGACGAUCAGAUACCGUCGUAGUCUUAACCAUAAACUAUGCCGACUAGGGAUCGGGCGGUGUUUCUAUGAUGACCCGCUCGGCACCUUACGAGAAAUCAAAGU